RNAcentral lists this ribosomal RNA (17 nucleotides) under Polygala chamaebuxus. RNAcentral describes it as "partial 26S ribosomal RNA". The record is from RNAcentral. Lineage: Eukaryota; Viridiplantae; Streptophyta; Magnoliopsida; Fabales; Polygalaceae.
AUGCGACCCCAAGUCAG